This 557-nucleotide ribosomal RNA is filed under the name uncultured bacterium. RNAcentral's name for it is "bacterial SSU rRNA". It matches the Rfam family "Bacterial small subunit ribosomal RNA", at positions 102 to 694 of the family's 1533-position model. The record is from RNAcentral.
ACGGGUGAGUAACACGUGGGAAUCUACCCAUCCCUGCGGAACAACUCCGGGAAACUGGAGCUAAUACCGCAUACGCCCUUAGGGGGAAAGAUUUAUCGGGGAUGGAUGAGCCCGCGUUGGAUUAGCUAGUUGGUGGGGUAAAGGCCUACCAAGGCGACGAUCCAUAGCUGGUCUGAGAGGAUGAUCAGCCACAUUGGGACUGAGACACGGCCCAAACUCCUACGGGAGGCAGCAGUGGGGAAUAUUGGACAAUGGGCGCAAGCCUGAUCCAGCCAUGCCGCGUGAGUGAUGAAGGCCUUAGGGUUGUAAAGCUCUUUCACCGAUGAAGAUAAUGACGGUAGUCGGAGAAGAAGCCCCGGCUAACUUCGUGCCAGCAGCCGCGGUAAUACGAAGGGGGCUAGCGUUGUUCGGAAUUACUGGGCGUAAAGCGCACGUAGGCGGAUAUUUAAGUCAGGGGUGAAAUCCCGCAGCUCAACUGCGGAACUGCCUUUGAUACUGGGUAUCUUGAGUAUGGAAGAGGUUAGUGGAAUUGCGAGUGUAGAGGUGAAAUUCGUAGA